This 487-nucleotide ribosomal RNA is filed under the name uncultured Actinomycetales bacterium. Its description in RNAcentral is "bacterial SSU rRNA". It matches the Rfam family "Bacterial small subunit ribosomal RNA", at positions 8 to 507 of the family's 1533-position model. Lineage: Bacteria; Bacillati; Actinomycetota; Actinomycetes; Actinomycetales. The record is from RNAcentral.
AGAGUUUGAUCCUGGCUCAGGACGAACGCUGGCGGCGUGCUUAACACAUGCAAGUCGAACGGAAAGGCUCCAGCUUGCUGGAGUACUCGAGUGGCGAACGGGUGAGUAACACGUGGGUAAUCUGCCCUGCACUCUGGGAUAAGCCUGGGAAACUGGGUCUAAUACUGGAUAUGACCUUUCUCCUUAUGGGGUUUGGUGGAAAGUUUUUCGGUGUAGGAUGAGCCCGCGGCCUAUCAGCUUGUUGGUGGGGUGAUGGCCUACCAAGGCGACGACGGGUAGCCGGCCUGAGAGGGUGAUCGGCCACAUUGGGACUGAGAUACGGCCCAGACUCCUACGGGAGGCAGCAGUGGGGAAUAUUGCACAAUGGGCGGAAGCCUGAUGCAGCGACGCCGCGUGAGGGAUGACGGCCUUCGGGUUGUAAACCUCUUUCAGCAGGGACGAAGCGUAAGUGACGGUACCUGCAGAAGAAGCACCGGCUAACUACGUG